Podarcis lilfordi (Lilford's wall lizard) is the source of this 77-nucleotide non-coding RNA. The record is from the annotation of a GenBank genome assembly. Lineage: Eukaryota; Metazoa; Chordata; Lepidosauria; Squamata; Lacertidae.
GGAAGGAGCCAAUAGCUCCAUGGUAGAGCAUCUGCUUUGCAUGCAGAAGGUCCUGGGUUCAAGCCCUGGCAUUUCCA